Molecule: ribosomal RNA, 164 nt
Filed under: Pectis capillipes
Lineage: Eukaryota; Viridiplantae; Streptophyta; Magnoliopsida; Asterales; Asteraceae
Description: 5.8S ribosomal RNA
Rfam family: 5.8S ribosomal RNA
About the family: 5.8S ribosomal RNA (5.8S rRNA) is a component of the large subunit of the eukaryotic ribosome.
Source: RNAcentral
AAAACGACUCUCGGCAACGGAUAUCUCGGCUCACGCAUCGAUGAAGAACGUAGCAAAAUGCGAUACUUGGUGUGAAUUGCAGAAUCCCGUGAACCAUCGAGUUUUUGAACGCAAGUUGCGCCCGAAGCCAUCCGGUUGAGGGCACGUCUGCCUGGGCGUCACGU